GCCCGCCUAGCUCAAUCGGAUAGAGCGUCAGACUCUUACGGGUUAGGCUUAAGUGGCGACCCAGGGCAUCUGAAGGCUGCGAGUUCGACCCUCGCGGUGGGCU
This 103-nucleotide transfer RNA is filed under the name Pilatotrama ljubarskyi. RNAcentral describes it as "tRNA-Lys". It matches the Rfam family "tRNA". Rfam says of the family: Transfer RNA (tRNA) molecules are approximately 80 nucleotides in length. Their secondary structure includes four short double-helical elements and three loops (D, anti-codon, and T loops). Further hydrogen bonds mediate the characteristic L-shaped molecular structure. tRNAs have two regions of fundamental functional importance: the anti-codon, which is responsible for specific mRNA codon recognition, and the 3' end, to which the tRNAs corresponding amino acid is attached (by aminoacyl-tRNA synthetases). tRNAs cope with the degeneracy of the genetic code in two manners: having more than one tRNA (with a specific anti-codon) for a particular amino acid; and 'wobble' base-pairing, i.e. permitting non-standard base-pairing at the 3rd anti-codon position. The record is from RNAcentral. Lineage: Eukaryota; Fungi; Basidiomycota; Agaricomycetes; Polyporales; Polyporaceae.